This 254-nucleotide ribosomal RNA is filed under the name uncultured bacterium. RNAcentral describes it as "partial 16S ribosomal RNA". It matches the Rfam family "Bacterial small subunit ribosomal RNA", at positions 1246 to 1500 of the family's 1533-position model. The record is from RNAcentral.
GAGGCGAAGCCGCGAGGCAGAGCGAACCCCAAAAAGCCGUCCCAGUUCGGAUCGCAGGCUGCAACCCGCCUGCGUGAAGUCGGAAUCGCUAGUAAUCGCGGAUCAGCAUGCCGCGGUGAAUACGUUCCCGGGCCUUGUACACACCGCCCGUCACACCAUGAGAGUCGGGAACACCCGAAGCCCGUAGCCUAACAGCAAUGAGGGCGCGGUCGAAGGUGGGUUCGAUAAUUGGGGUGAAGUCGUAACAAGGUAUC